This 406-nucleotide ribosomal RNA is filed under the name uncultured bacterium. Its description in RNAcentral is "partial 16S ribosomal RNA". It matches the Rfam family "Bacterial small subunit ribosomal RNA", at positions 30 to 526 of the family's 1533-position model. The record is from RNAcentral.
AUUGAACGCUGGCGGCAGGCCUAACACAUGCAAGUCGAGCGCGCGGCGGACGGGUGAGAAAUGUCUGGGACACUGCCUGUUGGAGGGGGAUAACUACUGGAAACGGUAGCUAAUACCGCAUACCCUCAGAUGUGCCCAGAUGGGAUUAGCUAGUAGGUGGGGUAUUGGCUCACCUAGGCGACGAUCCCUCGCUGGUCUGUGAGGAUGUCCAGCCACAAUGGAACUGAGACACGGUCCAGACUCCUACGGGAGGCAGCAGUGGGGAAUAUUGCACAAUGGGCGCAAGCCUGAUGCAGCCAUGCCGGGUGUGUGAAGGAGGCCUUCGGGUUGUAAAGCACUUUCAGCGGGGAAGCGUUACCCGCAGAAGAAGCACCGGCUAACUCCGGGCCAGCAGCCGCGGUAAUUC